GCCCUUAGAGUUUGAUCCUGGCUCAGGAUGAACGCUAGCGGCAGGCCUAAUACAUGCAAGUCGAACGGUAACAUGGUAGCAAUACUGAUGACGAGUGGCAGACGGGUGCGUAACACGUAUGCAACCUACCCUUUACAGGGGAAUAGCUCGGAGAAAUCCGGGAUUAAUACCCCAUAAUAUGGAGAAAAGGCAUCUGAUUUUCAUUAAAGAUUUAUCGGUAAAGGAUGGGCAUGCGUCCAAUUAGCUAGUUGGCGAGGUAAAGGCUCACCAAGGCGAUGAUUGGUAGGGGUUCUGAGAGGAAGAUCCCCCACACUGGUACUGAGAUACGGACCAGACUCCUACGGGAGGCAGCAGUAGGGAAUAUUGGGCAAUGGGCGAGAGCCUGACCCAGCCAUGCCGCGUGCAGGAAGAAGGCCUUCUGGGUUGUAAACUGCUUUUGAUCGGGAACAAAGAGUCCAUGCGUGGAAAGAAGAGUGUACCGAUAGAAUAAGCACCGGCUAACUCCGUGCCAGCAGCCGCGGUAAUACGGAGGGUGCAAGCGUUGUCCGGAUUUAUUGGGUUUAAAGGGUGCGUAGGCGGCUAUUUAAGUCAGUGGUGAAAUCCUACAGCUCAACUGUAGCAAUGCCAUAGAUACUGGGUAGCUUGAGUGCAGAUGAGGUAUGCGGAAUUUAUAGUGUAGCGGUGAAAUGCAUAGAUACUAUAAAGAACAUCGAUUGCGAAGGCAGCAUACUAAGGUGUAACUGACGCUGAGGCACGAAAGCGUGGGGAUCGAACAGGAUUAGAUACCCUGGUAGUCCAUGCUGUAAACGAUGAUUACUCGAUGUUAGCGAUAAACAGUUAGCGUCCAAGCGAAAGCGUUAAGUAAUCCACCUGGGGAGUACGCUCGCAAGAGUGAAACUCAAAUGAAUUGACGGGGAAGGGC
RNAcentral lists this ribosomal RNA (922 nucleotides) under uncultured bacterium. RNAcentral's name for it is "bacterial SSU rRNA". It matches the Rfam family "Bacterial small subunit ribosomal RNA", at positions 1 to 924 of the family's 1533-position model. The record is from RNAcentral.